Molecule: long non-coding RNA, 1372 nt
Filed under: Cricetulus griseus (Chinese hamster)
Lineage: Eukaryota; Metazoa; Chordata; Mammalia; Rodentia; Cricetidae
Description: lncRNA (ENSCGRG00015028942.1)
Source: RNAcentral
CUACCCUGGAUGAAAGUCCAAGGGUUUAUAAUUUUUGUUUGGUGCCAUGUCUGUAAUUUGGUCUGCUGUGCUGUUUGUCCUGUCUGUUGUAUCUGUCCUGUUGUUCUUGUCAUUUGUGUCAAUCUCAGUUCUCCCCAUGGGGCUAUCUAUCUGACCCUAGUCUGUGUUACUGUGCUGUCUGCCCAAGUUUCACAUUGGUGCUGUGUGUUUGUUCUUCUUUGUCUCAGUGCUGUGUUUGUAGUUUGUUUGUCUGUUUGUCUUGUCUUGACAGAGAAUGACUUGGGACAGAAUCUACCAGGACAGACCCCUUCCCUUUGAAAAACAGAGACUUUCCUGCUGCAGUGGCUCCAGACAGAGAAUUCCAGAUCCUGACAGUGACUCAAGGUCUCUAAAGAAGAUUAUGGGGCUCCAUGGACUGUGACAAUGCUGACCAGUGAGCAUGCUGCCAGGCAUGAUGGGGAUCAGACUGUGGACAGGCUACAGGACACUGGAGAAUUGAUUGCACCAUUUUUGCCUAGACAAAUUAAGAGUAUCUGCAUAUUGCCAGAGGCUUAAGAGCUUGGACCUUGAUCUGAGUUACUGCCCAGCAUUGGUGGCCCAUGCCUUUAAUCCCUGCACUCUGGAGGCAAAGAUGCCUUGCUGGAACCCUUAAGAAGUAACGAAGGGCAAUACAUAGUGAAGGUCCUCCCUGAGAUCCAGAAAGAAGGGAAUAUACACUGACAGAUCACCCAGAUCACCUGUGGAAUGGCCAGCAUCAAGCAGCUGCAGCUUAAACAAAAGAAUAACAUUUUGGCACCUGGACGUGGAAAGGCUCUGCCCUUAUACCUUCUCCCGAGGCCCGUUGGCGGGCGUGUGUUAGGUCAAGGGUACCCUUAACACACGGAUAGACAACCCAUGUUCCAUCUCACUGGUUUGCUGGGACUCUUCAUACAACACCAGACCCAAUUCGGUCUAAAAGGCACCAGAUAGUACCACAUGGCCCAGACUACAAUGAAACAACAAUCAACCCCAGGACAUGGCAGCACCCCAACCCUCCAAAGACAGUCAAUGCCCCAGGCCAGCAGGAAGCAGCCUUGAGACAUCUUCGCCCCUACUUCCCUAACCUGCCACGCCAAAUUCUCCAACUUUUAUAAUAAACAGCUGGGAUUGUAAGAACAAUACACCUGGAUGACCCUGCCCCUGCCCCCUAACAAUGGGGCACUCACCCGCCAUGCAUUGCCACCUGUGAGGACUCUUACGCAGGUGCAAAACCCCAGUGCGCAUAUGCAAUCUCCCCUUUAAAAGAUCCUGCCACCCAUCCCUCUCUUUCUUCCUUUUGGCUCCUCUUGGGUUGGCUGACUACCCAUCCCCCCUCCCCCCCUUUCUGGUAAAU